GCCAGAAGCUUCUUCCAUGUCCAGCAGAGCCAGUCCCUGGUGGCUCCAAAAAUGGAAGUGCUGCUGGCCAAGGCUGGGCCAAUUUGAAAUUGUGGCUGACACUAAUCCAUGGAAAGUGCUGCGAGAAAGUGUGGCCUACAAAAUCAGUGAAUAAACCAGAAAAAUCCAUAUCCUUUACUGGGACUGGGAGCUGUAAAUGCCAUGAAGACUCAGCUGUGGGUUUUUGCAGGUUUGAAGUAGUUGGCUACUGUGCAGGAAAACUUCAGACCAAAGGAAAAGCCUGAAAAGAAAUAUUUGUCCAAGAUUCUCUAAAUGUCACUGAGGAUGUGAUUUCUAGUAAUUGAGUUCUGGUAAUGGCAUUUCCUGCAUUUUCACACACGACCUUCAGCUGAAACAAUUUGUAAAAGAAGAUGAAGCAGAAUAGAAAUAAAUUUCAAGCAUUAAUUAAUUAAGUCCUGUUUUCUUUUUUGCAUCUCUCAUGUCUCUAAGUGUGGUUGUAGGACAAGAAUCACACCCUUUCCAAUGUUUGGGAAGCCUAAAAAAACUUAUUAUACCUCUUUUGUUUUUAGUCCCCAUCUUUGGGAAAAUCAAAAUAAGAAUUUAGGCUCUCAAAGAGUAACUUCUGCAGAACUUGAAUGUUUGCAUUUGUUUAAGCAACAUCUGCAGUUUCAAAUGUUUUAAACCAAAAUUAUUUACCUGUCCAAACUUGACAUGCUCUGCAUUCCAGAUGCACUUUCAGCUAUGCAGCUCUCACCUGAGGCCACUUGGAACCCACAGCAAGACAUCCCUGUGCCUAAGUCCUUAGAGCAAAAGAAAGAAAUAAAUAAGGGGAGAAAAGGGAAAAAAAAAAGUGUGCUCUGCAAUAGAGAAAGUGAAGCUAAUAUUUAUUCAGAGAUGAAAAUUCUGAGUGAAGAAAAGAAUUUGUCCUGAGGGUUUAUGCAGCACAGAAGUGGGUGUAAAUGAUUCUUAUCUUCUCCAAAUUUGCCCAGUAAUUUGAAUUCCUUCUAGACAUUGAAUUAGGAUAUCUUAACACCAAAUUAUUCCUGUAGCUGGCAUGACUAGUUUCCUAGCCAUUUUUAUUCACAAGAUCAGACUUUUCUUAAGUUGUUCCCUUAUAAAGUAUAAGUUUACACAGUUAAAAAACAGAACAGAACACUAUCUCCUAAAGCUAAAUUCUCUACAGGAACCUUAAGGAAAUAAAGUGGCAAAGGUCUUUGAAUUAAAUCCUGUUGAAACUGGUUGUGUUCGGAGCAUCAAUUUUGUAUAUACUAAACACCUGUCUCUUUAAAAAUUUUAUAUUAUGCAAGCCCAAUUCUGAUGUUUAUGAAUUGCAUGUACUACUCCAAGCUUGUUCUUUUGUGACUUCAGAUCCAAAUGGACUCAUUGUUUUCCUUCAUCAAAUACUUGUGUUGAUUUAAGUUUACUAACAGGGUGAAGAGAUGCUUUUAAUAGUGAUUGAAUUGUGGUAAUAUUGAUAUCUGAAGCACAAGAAGUAAUGCACCACUGCCCUGGAAGAUCUGAGUAUUUUUCCUCCCUGUAUCAGCAACAUCUUUGCCUCGGUAUUCUUUAUAUGUCACAUUUUACACUUUUCAAAAGAAAAGCCACUAUGUUCCUGCGUGAGUAAUUAACUUCCAGCACCAAUACAUACCCUGUGGUCUACACCCUAAUGCCCAAGUCUGCCCUGGUGGAUUUCAAGACAGGGACUGGAAAUAGACUUGAGUCUAUUCUGUGAUGAUGCACAUCUCAGGCCAUCUUUAGAGAACAUUACAUUCACUUCAGCAAAAUAUAAGUUUGGUAACUGAAGUUAGUUUUGAUCCCCUUUACUGUUAGCUAGCUUGUGGUUUUUAUCUGUAGUAUGUUGCUGCCCAAAUUACAUCUUUUUAAGACUUUUGAGGUAAUGUCCUCAACACAAGCCAAGCACAUGCCAACACAAUGACAAAUCAGUGUGAUUUAAGGCCUUGCUGCACAAGACUUUGUCCAGUGAAAUUUUGAAUAUCUCCGUUGACAGGGACUCCACAACUUCUCUGGUCCCUGUUUCAAAGUCUAUCACCAUCUCAUUAAAAAAAUCUCAUAAAGUCCCUUGUUCCAACUUGUGUCCAUUGGCUUUUGUUCUUCCACUGGGCACAUCUGGGAUGAGAAUGCAUCUGUCUUCUCUACAUUCCCCCAGAGGUGAAAUAUUUCAAGGUAGCAGUAAGAUCUACCUCUUUUUUGCCUUUUUUGAAAGCAGAACCACCCCAGUUCUCUCCUCAUAUGUCACAUGUGUUCCAUCUCCAUGAUCGGCUUCACAGCUCUCUGCUGGACUUCUCCAGUGUGUUGAUGUCUUUCUUGCACUUGGGAGUGCAAGAGCACUGUAGUCCAACAGAGGUAUAGCUAGUGCCAAAUAAAGGAGAAUAAUGGGCUUCUUUGACCUACUAGUUACACUCUAAAAGUCAUCUUGUUAAUGUAGUUGGCCUCCUGCAAGGGCACACUAACAUAUCGUGCUAAAAUAUGCUGUUCCUAUGAGAGAUAAACCUACCUUAUGACACUGAGUUACAAGGCCAGCAACAGCAAAGCUUCUGUUUGGACAGUACACUUAAAUUUUAUUAUCAGGCUUCUCUUUGAUUUUAAACAAAACAAUUAUGGAUCUCUUAUACUUCACCACACACCUUAGGAGACAUUCUCCACUGAAGAUGGCUCUUACUUCCUAAGGGAAAAAUAAUACAAAAUAGUAUUUGAUCCCAAAGACUAAAGAGUGUAAUAGGAAUGACUGGUUCAAGAGAAGAGAUGUAAUGAGAAGAAGCAGUGAGAAGUAAUGACAUGGGAAGAAAGAAAGAGGAACUAAUGAAAGGGCAAAAUGGGAAAUGGUAGGGGAAAGGGCAAGAGAAGUAUUGUAGAGGUGAAAGCUGGGAAGAAAUAGUCUUUAGUCUUUAAAAGCAUCUGGAAAGCCUGGCAACACUAGCAAAGGCCUCUUCUCAAGCCCCAGAGCCUACUGCAAAAACAGACCCUGCUGACCUCCUCUUUCAAACCCUUUUAAAGUUCUAAACACUAUAAAAUCUAUCCUAGUGUUUCAAAUAAACUCAGUGACUGCUUGCAGUGCGUGAAUCCUUGAUCAGUCUUUUGGCUCUGCAUAAUCAACUUUCCACAGUACACUGAGACUCUGGCAUUGCUUCUCAGUGGCCAGUGCCAGCAGCAACCUGAGUUUCAACCAUUUUAAAUUUGGAAGGAUUAAGAAUUUAAAUCUAAAUUCAGUGACUUGUUUAGUCUAAAGAGUUAUUCUAUGCUUAAAAUUUAUUUUUUUAACAAAAUCACUCAACAAGUCUAGUAGCUGUUCCUAAACCAGCUGAGUUUCUGCUAAUUUUGCUUCUCAGCUUUCAAGCUUUAUAUUCAAACUAUCCUCCCAUUUUUUAGCCAUUUGCCCCAACAGGAUCAAACAGGGCAUUUUUGUGUAAUGAACUCCUUUCUCCAUGACCACAGCUUUCACCAUGGACAGCAAAAACGUUGCAAAUUGGGCUUUAUUUAUUUAUUGUAUUUGUUAUAUAACACCCAUCCCCAUGUAUCUGGCUGCCCUACAAAAGUUAAAAGCAAGAAUAAAUAAAAUAAGGCCAUACCCAGUGGCCAGAGAGAAGCAGCUGUUCUGCCAAGAGAAGAGCCAAGAGAAAACAACUCUGAGAAAAAGAGCUGUUGAGAAAAUCAAGAUAAAAUGAUCAAAGAUGCACCGUCCAGAAAGGUCAGCAGAGUUUAUUAUUGAAGCUUUCACAUGCCCAGUCUGCUUAAUUGCCUUUUAUAAGCAUUUUACAGUGAGCCCUGGAGGCCAAUGAAGGUGGGGAUGGUGUGCAAACCUAUCAAUGGAACCAAAAAAUGCUCAGCAGAUGUCCCAAAGUCACAGGAGUGUGAAAAAAAAAUUAAUAAUGACAGUCAACUGUAACAGCUUAACAAAGAUGAGGACACAGUGCAUUCAUUUGCUAGAGUCACCAUCGUAAAGAGUUAUGUAAAAGUUACUGUGUUUGCAUAGCAGAAACCAACCAAAAGGAAAUUAAAUUAUUUUUACUACUAAAAAGGAAAGACAAUAUCACAAGUACUGAAGAAAAGUACUUUUUUGCAUGGUACAAAAAAGACAUUAAAAAGAAAAAAAAUAGCACUCCAUCUCCCAUCCUGAAUCUCUUAUAGAAAUAUUAGUAAAGUGCACUUGAAAUAUGUUUCUCCAAACAGUAGUGUUCUCUGUUCUAUUUGUUUAACACAGCAGAAUACAGAAAACAGAUAAAUUUUGAACCCCAGCAGUACAUCCAUAUGAUAUUAAAUUCCUGCACAGUACAAAUGCCAGCCAGGUCUCCCCAGCUUUUACUCAGUGUGACUAUAUGAAGACAUUGAGCCCUGUCUGGAAAACACACAGUUUACAUUGGAGCCAAGCUGUGUCAUCUGUGCCACUGGGCAGGCAGUGAGAUUGUUCUGCUCCUCUGCUGUUGCUUUUUCCACAUGUUCCCUGCUGAGCUGGCAUGCUCCACUAGAGAUACCUGCUUGUACUCGAAUAUAUUUCAGGGCACACAGGGGCUGUGUAUCCUUUCUGGCUGCAGCUCACACUGCUACAACUCCUAUUCAUCCUUGGCUACUCCCUGGUGCACCCCUCGCAGUGUUUGCCACACUUUCUCUCUUGCCAGCAGAGCUUUCCUGCAAGCACCUUUUAAAACAUUUCAGGUAAAUUGAGUCAAAUUCACAGGAUUCAGUGAGAAACUUGCAGGUAUGCAUAGUUCAAAUAAUAAAUCCUAACAAUUCAAAGCAGAGGUCCAGGCUAAUUUACAGUAAGUGAAGUCGAUAAAGUAAUGACACCACAAAUAAUACCUGUUGCUCUAAGAAACUUGUAUCUCUUCUUUUUUCCUUUUAUCACCAAAUUCCUAAACACAAUUAAAACUUCCUCUACCAUGAUAGUUGUGGUUUAAAAAGCCUGCCUCUUAAAAUUGCAAUAAAUAACCAGACAUAUUUUUAUCUUCCAUCAAAUCCCCCCGUAAGGCCUCAGAUUCUUGGCAAAUUUCCAGGUAUAAAGAUUUUGUUGCUGUUUCCCAUCCCUGUAUUCUUUUUAAAUGUACUUCCUCCCCAGUCUCCAGACUCAGGAGAAGAGACAGAGAGUGCAUGCCAUGCAAAUGUUACAGCAGAGCCAAUUGCCCAACAAAUUGAUUUGUUUGGUACAACCUACUCUAAUCCAUGUCUUCAGACAGAAAGCCCUCCAGGGCAUAGUCUGUCUCUUUUCUGUUGUUAAAUGACACAAAAGGCCCAACCCGCCCUGGGGACCUGGGUGCUAUCUGGAUUCUCUGAGGUGCUUUAUCUCUCUUCAUCAUCAGGCCAUCCCAACAAGACAUCAUCAGGCUGGGCAUAGUCUGCUGAGGCUCUUCAGCAUUUGUCAUCAGAUGUUAAAUUCAUAUAAAAAUGAAGUAUAUUCCUUCUAUCUCUUCUGAAAGACCUCCUUGUCCUUAAUCUCCCAGUAUGUCAGUUCUCAGCACAAGGAAGCCAUUGCCAAAUCUGGGCCCAAUUUAGCACACACAGGAUGCUCUAGCUGUUUGCAGCCCAAUAUAAGCUGGCCUCACAGAAACCAAACCUCCUGAUAUACCCAGUCAAAUGUGGAUUUUUGAACGUGCAGAAUGUGCAGAUGCCAUGGUCAUGGUGAUAAGUACCUGGAACACAAAUCCUGUGAGCAUUCUGGUUCCACUGCCCAUACACAGUUGUGAAAUCAUCAUGCCAAUACAGAGUGUUUUCUAAACUGCUCAUCACACUAGAACCAAACCAAGCACACACAGAGACUGAACUACCUCUUGUCCAUGAAGCAAAUAUUGGUUUUGAUUGCAGGAUUGAGGAUUUUGGCAGGCUACCAGGGAGCUCCCAGUGUGGUUGCCUGUAUGACCCAGGAGUGUAUAAGGCUAGAGGGCAAACAUAGGAUUCCUGCUGUGCCAACAUAUCAACCUUUGUAAACACAAAUAUAGAAUGAAAAAGAAGAAGCAGCACAACCAUAUCAUGCCAUAGAAUCCACAGGCACCACCGGAAUGAGAGCUGUGCCAGGGGUAAGGCAGCUUCAAGAUCAAAGUGCAGAUUUAUCAAGAAAACAAUGAAGAAUAUGAAAACAAAACCACUUUAACUAUGCAGAGUCACUGUAGAUUCAUACCAAGAAGAUUUCACUCAUUACCACAUUUGUGAACAAAAGGGAGAGGCAAGCAAAAAAGGAAAGGCAGAAUGACAUUAAUGAGGCUGCAAAAAUGCAGCUGAGAGAUUUCUCCCUCAAGUUUCACAUGUGUGUAAUAUAAUCAGUGAUGGAUUAACAUGUUGGAA
Long non-coding RNA from Passer domesticus (house sparrow), 6291 nucleotides. RefSeq lists it as uncharacterized. The transcript is spliced from 5 exons. The record is from RefSeq and is a predicted model, not a curated record. Lineage: Eukaryota; Metazoa; Chordata; Aves; Passeriformes; Passeridae.